This 505-nucleotide ribosomal RNA is filed under the name uncultured bacterium. RNAcentral's name for it is "partial 16S ribosomal RNA". It matches the Rfam family "Bacterial small subunit ribosomal RNA", at positions 28 to 507 of the family's 1533-position model. The record is from RNAcentral.
GACGAACGCUGGCGGCGUGCCUAAUACAUGCAAGUCGAACGCACAGUUUAUACCGUAGCUUGCUACACCAUAGACUGUGAGUUGCGAACGGGUGAGUAACGCGUAGGUAACCUGCCUGGUAGCGGGGGAUAACUAUUGGAAACGAUAGCUAAUACCGCAUAAUAUUAAUUAUUGCAUGAUAAUUAAUUGAAAGGUGCAAUUGCACCACUACCAGAUGGACCUGCGUUGUAUUAGCUAGUAGGUGAGGUAACGGCUCACCUAGGCGACGAUACAUAGCCGACCUGAGAGGGUGAUCGGCCACACUGGGACUGAGACACGGCCCAGACUCCUACGGGAGGCAGCAGUAGGGAAUCUUCGGCAAUGGACGAAAGUCUGACCGAGCAACGCCGCGUGAGUGAAGAAGGGUUUCGGAUCGUAAAGCUCGGUUGUAAGAGAAGAACGGGUGUGAGAGUGGAAAGUUCACACUGUGACGGUAGCUUACCAGAAAGGGACGGCUAACUACGUG